CAGCAGCCGCGGUAAUACGGAGGGUGCGAGCGUUAAUCGGAAUAACUGGGCGUAAAGGGCACGCAGGCGGUGACUUAAGUGAGGUGUGAAAGCCACGGGCUUAACCUGGGAAUUGCACUUCAUACUGGGUCGCUAGAGUACUUUAGGGAGGGGUAGAAUUCCACGUGUAGCGGUGAAAUGCGUAGAGAUGUGGAGGAAUACCGAAGGCGAAGGCAGCCCCUUGGGAGUGUACUGACGCUCAUGUGCGAAAGCGUGGGGAGCAAACAGGAUUAGAUACCCCCGUAGUCCCUGUCUCUUAUAC
This 301-nucleotide ribosomal RNA is filed under the name uncultured bacterium. Its description in RNAcentral is "partial 16S ribosomal RNA". It matches the Rfam family "Bacterial small subunit ribosomal RNA", at positions 509 to 807 of the family's 1533-position model. The record is from RNAcentral.